GGCGAACGGGUGAGUACAACAUCGGAACGUAUCCUGAAGUGGGGGAUAGCCCGGCGAAAGCCGGAUUAAUACCGCAUGAUCUCUUAGGAGCAAAGCGGGGGAGCCGUAAGGUCCUCGCGCUAUUGGAGCGGCCGAUGCCGGAUUAGCUUGUUGGUGGGGUAAAGGCCUACCAAGGCAACGAUCCGUAGCUGGUCUGAGAGGAUGAUCAGCCACACUGGAACUGAGACACGGUCCAGACUCCUACGGGAGGCAGCAGUGGGGAAUUUUGGACAAUGGGGGCAACCCUGAUCCAGCCAUGCCGCGUGCGGGAAGAAGGCCUUCGGGUUGUAAACCGCUUUCAUACGGGACGAAAUGGUGCAGGUUAAUACCCUGUAUUGAUGACGGUACCGUAAGAAGAAGCACCGGCUAACUACGUGCCAGCAGCCGCGGUAAUACGUAGGGUGCGAGCGUUAAUCGGAAUUACUGGGCGUAAAGCGUGCGCAGGCGGCUCUUUAAGACAGGUGUGAAAUCCCCGGGCUUAACCUGGGAAUUGCGCUUGUGACUGGGGAGCUCGAGUGCGGCA
Molecule: ribosomal RNA, 562 nt
Filed under: uncultured beta proteobacterium
Lineage: Bacteria; Pseudomonadati; Pseudomonadota; Betaproteobacteria
Description: bacterial SSU rRNA
Rfam family: Bacterial small subunit ribosomal RNA
Source: RNAcentral